Molecule: ribosomal RNA, 505 nt
Filed under: uncultured Lachnospiraceae bacterium
Lineage: Bacteria; Bacillati; Bacillota; Clostridia; Lachnospirales; Lachnospiraceae
Description: partial 16S ribosomal RNA
Source: RNAcentral
CACGUAGUUAGCCGGGGCUUCUUAGUCAGGUACCGUCCAAAGUCCAAAGGACUUUUUUUCUUCCCUGCUGAUAGAGCUUUACGUACCGAAAUACUUCUUCACUCACGCGGCGUCGCUGCAUCAGGGUUUCCCCCAUUGUGCAAUAUUCCCCACUGCUGCCUCCCGUAGGAGUUUGGGCCGUGUCUCAGUCCCAAUGUGGCCGUUCACCCUCUCAGGCCGGCUACUGAUCGUCGCUUUGGUGGGCCGUUACCCCGCCAACUGGCUAAUCAGACGCGGAUCCAUCGUAUACCACCGGAGUUUUUCACACUGUUCCAUGCGGAACCGUGCGCUUAUGCGGUAUUAGCACCUAUUUCUAAGUGUUAUCCCCCUGUAUACGGCAGGUUAUCCACGCGUUACUCACCCGUCCGCCACUAAUCCAUACAUCACUAGGUUUCAAUAUGGAUCCGUUCGACUUGCAUGUGUUAGGCACGCCGCCAGCGUUCAUCCUGAGCCAGGAUCAAACUCU